GUUCUCUCUGGCUGAGGGGCCAGCGGGGUUUGGGACCCCUCUAGGGCACCUGCCUGGGAUCUUCCUAGGAGAGGGCUCC
Molecule: non-coding RNA, 79 nt
Organism: Turdus rufiventris (rufous-bellied thrush)
Lineage: Eukaryota; Metazoa; Chordata; Aves; Passeriformes; Turdidae
Source: the annotation of a GenBank genome assembly